CGGCCAGAGGCUCCGACUUGGCCCCGGCGCUGCACCGGCCUGCGGUCCCUGUGUGUGGGCCUCGGUUUCCACGGGAGGUUGAGUGCAUUCUGCUGUGCGACCCUCUGGGGGCGGCAGGGGGCGCCCCCGGCCCACGGGAACGCGCUCGGGGGGACAAAGAGGGUGCGCGACAGCCAGAAGCAGCUCUGACAGGGCCACCGGCUCAGCCUAGUGUUGGGGACACAGGUCAGUGGAGCCCAGCUUGGCAGCAGGUUCCUUUGCUCUUACCUCAUCUGCACCUGCUGGCUUCUGGACAAGGAGUGGGAUCACGUGGCCCAGGAGGAGCUCGGCACAGAAAUCCCACUGGGCCCUGGAAACGCAGAUGUGACAAUGGACAAGAUCCAUCUGAAAGUUUUGAAGAGAAUAAAGGAGGAGUAAAGAUGUAUAUCAAAGAAACUGGAUGUGGCUCUACCCUAGAGAAUAAGAGAAUCUUCCUGAAGAACUUCCCAAAUAAAAUACCUUGUUUUUCUUCGUGGAAUCUGAUCCUGCUGUUUGGUUUCUGAUAAAUACUCUAUCGAAAGAGGGAAAGUUCCCUUUUAUACUUUGUUUAUUGAAAACUGCUUUUAAAAAAUGUGGAAUGGAUGCUGAAUAUUAUUAAAUUCCUUUUUAGUCCCAUGAACAUAACCAAAGCUUCUCUCUUUUAGAUUAUUAGUGUCGUAAAUAACACCAAUAGUACUAAUAUUGAACCAGCCUUGCAUUCCUGUAUUCUUGCAUUGUAUUGGCACUUUAUUCUUUUCCUGGCCUACUGGAUUCAUCCUGCUAAUAUUUUAUUCAGGAUUUUUGUUAUUUUUUCACAAGUAAAUAUUAG
Molecule: long non-coding RNA, 847 nt
Filed under: Sus scrofa (pig)
Lineage: Eukaryota; Metazoa; Chordata; Mammalia; Artiodactyla; Suidae
Description: lncRNA (ENSSSCG00015080455.1)
Source: RNAcentral